AACAGGUCAGAGGGCACGCUGAGUCCGCGCCGCCGCACUCGCCUCCGAAACCGCCGGCGCCAUGUUUGACAAGGGCACCGCCCCGCGUUCCGUGGGAGAGCAGCCCAGAGGCGAGAUCCUACCCUAAGCGUGCGUGCCUGCCCAAGGCCACGACCUGCCGGAGAGACACGUGUGGCGCCGAGAUAGCGAGCUUAACGGUCCCUUAAACGAAGAGUGAAUUAACUGAUCCGUGCUGCGAUACUUUCCCAUUCAUCGCCUGGCUCCCCCCACAGCGCUUGGGGACAGUUUCAAUCCUGCGUGUGAGUGCCUGUGUGCCUGCCUGCGUGCAUGUGUGUCUUUGCGACGCUGGGUAUAUGUGAAGAUCAGAGGACAACUUUUGAAAAUCAUUACUUUCUUCCACCAUGUGGAUCUUAGCACUAUAGGGCUUGGUGGCAAGUGUUUAGAGGCAAGUACUUUUAUCCACUGAGCUAUCUCACCUAACCUAUUUCUGGUUUGUUUUUGUUUUUGUUUUGUUUUGUUUGAAACAG
Molecule: long non-coding RNA, 527 nt
Filed under: Cricetulus griseus (Chinese hamster)
Lineage: Eukaryota; Metazoa; Chordata; Mammalia; Rodentia; Cricetidae
Description: lncRNA (ENSCGRG00015039302.1)
Source: RNAcentral